CGCUAUGGUGAAAUCGGUAGACAC
This 24-nucleotide transfer RNA is filed under the name Caltha palustris. Its description in RNAcentral is "partial tRNA-Leu". RNAcentral also lists the same sequence under 6 other names. The record is from RNAcentral. Lineage: Eukaryota; Viridiplantae; Streptophyta; Magnoliopsida; Ranunculales; Ranunculaceae.